This 253-nucleotide ribosomal RNA is filed under the name uncultured bacterium. Its description in RNAcentral is "partial 16S ribosomal RNA". It matches the Rfam family "Bacterial small subunit ribosomal RNA", at positions 524 to 776 of the family's 1533-position model. The record is from RNAcentral.
UACAGGGGGGGCAAGCGUUGUUCGGAAUUACUGGGCGUAAAGGGCUCGUAGGCGGCCAACUAAGUCGGAUGUGAAAUCCCCAGGCUUAACCUGGGAACUGCAUCCGAUACUGGAUGGCUUGAAUCCGGGAGAGGGAUGCAGAAUUCCAGGGGUAGCGGUGAAAUGCGUAGAUAUCUGGAGGAAUACCGGUGGCGAAGGCGGCAUCCUGGACCAAUAUUGACGCUGAGGAGCGAAAGCCAGGGGAGCAAACGGG